This 72-nucleotide transfer RNA is filed under the name Bacteroidales bacterium. Its description in RNAcentral is "tRNA-Gln". It matches the Rfam family "tRNA". From Rfam's summary of the family: Transfer RNA (tRNA) molecules are approximately 80 nucleotides in length. Lineage: Bacteria; Pseudomonadati; Bacteroidota; Bacteroidia; Bacteroidales. The record is from RNAcentral.
UGACCCAUGGUGUAAUGGUAACACAACGGAUUUUGGUUCCGCAGAGUCCUGGUUCGAAUCCAGGUGGGUCAG